Molecule: long non-coding RNA, 216 nt
Filed under: Helianthus annuus (common sunflower)
Lineage: Eukaryota; Viridiplantae; Streptophyta; Magnoliopsida; Asterales; Asteraceae
Description: hypothetical non coding rna
Source: RNAcentral
UAAUUGGUUCAAAAGUGUCCAAAGUCAGAUAAACACAAAAAUUUAACAUCAAACAACCAAGAAAACACUCACCGAGGCAAACGAGCAAACGACUUGCUAGCAAUAGAAACACUCAACAUCGACUGAGGCUGAACUCCACAUAGCGCAACCGACGUACCCGCACAAGAUAUGAAAGGGACGACGGAGAUGCGGUGGUUGAGGGCGGAGAAGAAAUAA